Molecule: ribosomal RNA, 434 nt
Filed under: uncultured bacterium
Lineage: Bacteria
Description: partial 16S ribosomal RNA
Rfam family: Bacterial small subunit ribosomal RNA
Source: RNAcentral
AGCGAACGCUGGCGGCAGGCCUAACACAUGCAAGUCGAACGAACCUUUCGGGGUUAGUGGCGGACGGGUGAGUAACACGUGGGAACGUGCCUUUAGGUUCGGAAUAACUCGGGGAAACUUGUGCUAAUACCGAAUGUGCCCUUCGGGGGAAAGAUUAAUCGCCUUUAGAGCGGCCCGCGUCUGAUUAGCUAGUUGGUUGAGGUAACGGCUCACCAAGGCGACGAUCAGUAGCUGGUCUGAGAGGAUGAUCAGCCACAUUGGGACUGAGACACGGCCCAAACUCCUACGGGAGGCAGCAGUGGGGAAUCUUGCGCAAUGGGCGAAAGCCUGACGCAGCCAUGCCGCGUGAAUGAUGAAGGUCUUAGGAUUGUAAAAUUCUUUCACCGGGGACGAUAAUGACGGUACCCGGAGAAGAAGCCCCGGCUAACUUCGUG